UACGUAGGUGGCAAGCGUUGUUCGGAAUUAUUGGGCGUAAAGGGCGCGUAGGCGGUUUGUUAAGUCAGCUGUGAAAGCCCGGGGCUCAACCCCGGAGGGUCGGCUGAUACUGGCAGGCUAGAGUACGGAAGAGGUAGCUGGAAUUCCCGGUGUAGCGGUGAAAUGCGUAGAUAUCAGGAGGAACACCGGUGGCGAAGGCGGGUCUCUGGGCCGUAACUGACGCUGAGGAGCGAAAGCAUGGGGAGCGAACAGG
RNAcentral lists this ribosomal RNA (253 nucleotides) under uncultured bacterium. RNAcentral describes it as "partial 16S ribosomal RNA". It matches the Rfam family "Bacterial small subunit ribosomal RNA", at positions 524 to 776 of the family's 1533-position model. The record is from RNAcentral.